UACGUAGGGGGCAAGCGUUGUCCGGAUUUAUUGGGCGUAAAGAGCGUGUAGGCGGUUCGGUAAGUCUGCUGUGAAAUCCUGGGGCUCAACCCCGGGCGUGCAGCGGAUACUGCCGGGCUAGAGGGUGGUAGAGGCGAGUGGAAUUCCGAGUGUAGCGGUGAAAUGCGCAGAUAUUAGGAAGAACACCGGUGGCGAAGGCGGCUCUCUGGAACGGUACUGACGCUGAGACGCGAAAGCGUGGGGAGCGAACAGG
This 253-nucleotide ribosomal RNA is filed under the name uncultured bacterium. Its description in RNAcentral is "partial 16S ribosomal RNA". It matches the Rfam family "Bacterial small subunit ribosomal RNA", at positions 524 to 776 of the family's 1533-position model. The record is from RNAcentral.